GACGAACGCUGGCGGCGUGCCUAACACAUGCAAGUCGAGCGGGGUUGAAGCGAGAGGUAACUCGAACUUCUACCUAGCGGCGGACGGGUGAGUAACGCGUGGGCAACCUGCCUCAAGGUCUGGGAUAACAGCCCGAAAGGGCUGCUAAUACCGGGUAUGCUUGUGGCCUCGCAUGGGGCUACGAGCAAAGGGGAAACCCGCCUUGAGAUGGGCCCGCGUCCCAUCAGCUAGUUGGUGAGGUAACAGCUCACCAAGGCGACGACGGGUAGCCGGCCUGAGAGGGUGACCGGCCACACUGGGACUGAGACACGGCCCAGACUCCUACGGGGGCAGCAGUGGGGGAUCUUGCACAAUGGGCGAAAGCCUGAUGCAGCGACGCCGCGUGAGCGAAGAAGGCCUCGGUUGUAAAGCUCUGUCUGGAGGACGGAAGGAAGUGACGGUACUCCGGACGGAAGCCACGGCUAACUACGUG
This 472-nucleotide ribosomal RNA is filed under the name uncultured bacterium. RNAcentral describes it as "bacterial SSU rRNA". It matches the Rfam family "Bacterial small subunit ribosomal RNA", at positions 28 to 507 of the family's 1533-position model. The record is from RNAcentral.